UCAUGGGGGUGGGUUUUCCCCAUACUGUUCUCAUGGUACUGAAUAAGUCUCAAGAGAUCUGAUGGUUUUAUAAAUCGGAGUUCCUAUGCACAAACUUGCUCUUGACUGCUGCCAUGUAAGACAUAACUUUGCUCCUCA
Molecule: long non-coding RNA, 138 nt
Organism: Nomascus leucogenys (northern white-cheeked gibbon)
Lineage: Eukaryota; Metazoa; Chordata; Mammalia; Primates; Hylobatidae
Exons: 3
Source: RefSeq, a predicted model, not a curated record